CUGUUCAGCAGGAGGAAGAGGAGCUGAGAGCUUCAGGGAGGAGCUGAGCUGUUACUGAACUAUAGAAGAGACACAAACUUCCACAUUCAACACAGUUCAAACAUUAACUCUGAUCAUCAUGCUGUCUUUGCUCACAUCUGGAUUUACUCUGCUGGUUCUGCUUAUAGGAACAGGUGUAAACUGUCAACAGCUCACUGCAGCAAAGACUGAGGAGUUCGCUUUAGAGGGCGGCUCUGUUACUCUGUCCUGCACUUACAAGAAAGAUUCAGCUCGUUUUUUGUUCUGGUAUCGACAAUAUCCUGGAAAACCUCCAGAGUUCCUGAAGUCCCACUCACCUUCAGGACUAACAGCUGAAGAAGAAAUCUAUCCUGUGACCAGCGGGGGAUUUACCAUUAGGCAAUGCUAUGCAGCUGCCUAG
Non-coding RNA from Cyprinodon tularosa, 418 nucleotides. NCBI's taxonomy places the organism in Eukaryota, Metazoa, Chordata, Actinopteri, Cyprinodontiformes, Cyprinodontidae. The record is from the annotation of a RefSeq genome assembly.